This 469-nucleotide ribosomal RNA is filed under the name uncultured bacterium. Its description in RNAcentral is "partial 16S ribosomal RNA". It matches the Rfam family "Bacterial small subunit ribosomal RNA", at positions 28 to 508 of the family's 1533-position model. The record is from RNAcentral.
GACGAACGCUGGCGGCGUGCUUAACACAUGCAAGUCGAACGGAAAGGCCCUGCUUUUGUGGGGUGCUCGAGUGGCGAACGGGUGAGUAACACGUGAGUAACCUGCCCUUGACUUUGGGAUAACUUCAGGAAACUGGGGCUAAUACCGGAUAGGAGCUCCUGCUGCAUGGUGGGGGUUGGAAAGUUUCGGCGGUUGGGGAUGGACUCGCGGCUUAUCAGCUUGUUGGUGGGGUAGUGGCUUACCAAGGCUUUGACGGGUAGCCGGCCUGAGAGGGUGACCGGCCACAUUGGGACUGAGAUACGGCCCAGACUCCUACGGGAGGAAGCAGUGGGGAAUAUUGCACAAUGGGCGGAAGCCUGAUGCAGCCACGCCGCGUGCGGGAUGACGGCCUUCGGGUUGUAAACCGCUUUCGCCUGUGACGAAGCGUGAGUGACGGUAAGGGGUAAAGAAGCACCGGCUAACUACGUGC